Molecule: ribosomal RNA, 496 nt
Filed under: uncultured bacterium
Lineage: Bacteria
Description: partial 16S ribosomal RNA
Rfam family: Bacterial small subunit ribosomal RNA
Source: RNAcentral
GAUGAACGCUGGCGUCGUGCCUAAUACAUGCAAGUCGAGCGAACAGACGAGGAGCUUGCUCCUCUGACGUUAGCGGCGGACGGGUGAGUAACACGUGGAUAACCUACCUAUAAGACUGGGAUAACUUCGGGAAACCGGAGCUAAUACCGGAUAAUAUAUUGAACCGCAUGGUUCAAUAGUGAAAGACGGUUUUGCUGUCACUUAUAGAUGGAUCCGCGCCGCAUUAGCUAGUUGGUAAGGUAACGGCUUACCAAGGCAACGAUGCGUAGCCGACCUGAGAGGGUGAUCGGCCACACUGGAACUGAGACACGGUCCAGACUCCUACGGGAGGCAGCAGUAGGGAAUCUUCCGCAAUGGGCGAAAGCCUGACGGAGCAACGCCGCGUGAGUGAUGAAGGUCUUCGGAUCGUAAAACUCUGUUAUUAGGGAAGAACAAAUGUGUAAGUAACGAUGCACGUCUUGACGGGACCUAAUCAGAAAGCCACGGCUAACUACGU